Molecule: long non-coding RNA, 738 nt
Filed under: Sus scrofa (pig)
Lineage: Eukaryota; Metazoa; Chordata; Mammalia; Artiodactyla; Suidae
Description: lncRNA (ENSSSCG00070030573.1)
Source: RNAcentral
AUGAUCCUUAAUGGUUUACUUUUCUCUGUCUUGCCACCUCAGAGUUCUCUCCUUGCUUGUCCAGCUGCAGGGAAGAUACUUUACCUGCUGUCUCUGCAGAAGAUGAUGCAAAAGAGAACCCAAGGACAUUUUCAGUGGAAGAUAAUGCACAGAAGGUGUACAAUACCACUGGUUGUCAAAGAAGCGAAGCCAGGGUCCCUUCUAGUGGGUGCAUCAGAAGUUAGAGAGAUGAAAAUCCAAAAAAUCCUCUAUCCACAAGUGGGACUUUCUUACACCAGAAUAAAUGAUAUCUCUGAAGGAUCUAUUCUGUCAUAAAUGUUGAAUACAAGGGAAUGAUGAAGGGAUGAAGAUUAGACAUUGGCAUCUCCAUAACCUAACUAAUCUGUUCCUUUUUUUUUUUUUUUUUUUUUUUUUUGAUCUUUUUAGGGCUGCACCCACGGCAUAUGGAGUUUCCCAGGCUAGGGGUCUAAUCGGAGCUGUAACCGCCAGCCUACACCACAGCAACGCCAGAUCCGAGCCAUGUCUACAACCUACACUGCAACUCAGGGCAAUGCCAGAUCCUUGACCUGCUGAGCUGGGCCAGGGAUUGAGCCCAAAACCUCAUGGUUCCUAGUUGGAUUCGUUUCUGCUGCACCACGAUGGGAACUCAAUCUGUUCUUGUUUAUAACAGAAGAAGGAGAUGAACCAACUCACUGUCCUACUAAUAAAUGAGCUUUGAAUCAAAAUCUUUGUCUAAGA